Molecule: ribosomal RNA, 469 nt
Filed under: uncultured bacterium
Lineage: Bacteria
Description: partial 16S ribosomal RNA
Rfam family: Bacterial small subunit ribosomal RNA
Source: RNAcentral
GACGAACGCUGGCGGCGUGCUUAACACAUGCAAGUCGAACGGAAAGGCCCUGCUUGCAGGGUGCUCGAGUGGCGAACGGGUGAGUAACACGUGGGUGAUCUGCCCCUUACUUUGGGAUAAGCCUGGGAAACUGGGUCUAAUACUGGAUAGGACCAUGCUGUAGGUGGUGUGGUGGAAAGAUUAGUUUCGGUAAGGGAUGAGCUCGCGGCCUAUCAGCUUGUUGGUGGGGUAAUGGCCUACCAAGGCGUCGACGGGUAGCCGGCCUGAGAGGGUGGACGGCCACAUUGGGACUGAGAUACGGGCCAGACUCCUACGAGAGGCAGCAGUGGGGAAUAUUGCACAAUGGGCGCAAGCCUGAUGCAGCGACGCCGCGUGGGGGAUGACGGCCUUCGGGUUGUAAACUCCUUUCAGCCAUGACGAAGCCCUUGUGGUGACGGUAGUGGUAGAAGAAGCACCGGCUAACUACGUG